GCCUCCGUGGCUUAGUAGCUAUAGCGGCUGCCUCGUAAGCAGCAGGUCGUGGGUGCAACUCCCAUCGGAGGCU
This 73-nucleotide transfer RNA is filed under the name Nanobdellota archaeon. RNAcentral's name for it is "tRNA-Thr". It matches the Rfam family "tRNA". Rfam says of the family: Transfer RNA (tRNA) molecules are approximately 80 nucleotides in length. Their secondary structure includes four short double-helical elements and three loops (D, anti-codon, and T loops). The record is from RNAcentral. Lineage: Archaea; Nanobdellati; Nanobdellota. RNAcentral also lists the same sequence under 1 other name.